AACGAACGCUGGCGGCAUGCCUAACACAUGCAAGUCGAACGAGACCUUCGGGUCUAGUGGCGCACGGGUGCGUAACGCGUGGGAAUCUGCCCUUGGGUUCGGAAUAACAGUUGGAAACGACUGCUAAUACCGGAUGAUGACGUAAGUCCAAGAUUUAUCGCCCAAGGAUGAGCCCGCGUAGGAUUAGCUAGUUGGUGAGGUAAAGGCUCACCAAGGCGACGAUCCUUAGCUGGUCUGAGAGGAUGAUCAGCCACACUGGGACUGAGACACGGCCCAGACUCCUACGGGAGGCAGCAGUGGGGAAUAUUGGACAAUGGGCGAAAGCCUGAUCCAGCAAUGCCGCGUGAGUGAUGAAGGCCUUAGGGUUGUAAAGCUCUUUUACCCGGGAUGAUAAUGACAGUACCGGGAGAAUAAGCGCCGGCUAACUCCGUG
Molecule: ribosomal RNA, 432 nt
Filed under: uncultured bacterium
Lineage: Bacteria
Description: partial 16S ribosomal RNA
Rfam family: Bacterial small subunit ribosomal RNA
Source: RNAcentral